Molecule: non-coding RNA, 72 nt
Organism: Gossypium hirsutum (cotton)
Lineage: Eukaryota; Viridiplantae; Streptophyta; Magnoliopsida; Malvales; Malvaceae
Source: Rfam
ACCCUUUUAACUCAGUGGUAGAGUAACACCAUGUUAAGGUGAAAGUAAUCAAUUCAAAUCCAAUAAAGGGCU